RNAcentral lists this unclassified non-coding RNA (299 nucleotides) under Bothriospermum sp. WELT SP085111. Its description in RNAcentral is "partial external transcribed spacer". The record is from RNAcentral. Lineage: Eukaryota; Viridiplantae; Streptophyta; Magnoliopsida; Boraginales; Boraginaceae.
CUUCUAUGAUGGCAAUCGGUAGUCUAAAUGUCCCAUUUCGCCUUUUGUUAUCCCUUUUUGGGGGUGACGUAAGGUGAACCAUGCAGCAAUCUCUGUGUCCCACUCCACCUCACAUUAAAUUGUGCAUUUGGACUGGUCCACAGGGAAUUUGCUCGAGCUGUUGGAUGCGGUGCAUUAUAUAUGGGCAUGAGGUCUCACGUCCUCUUUUUGCCCAAACAAAAGCUUUCGUCGCUUAGUUGCGAACGAUAGCGAUCCCCGUUUCGAGCCUCUUGGCAAGUGCGGUGAUUGCUUCGUUAAGG